Chrysemys picta bellii (western painted turtle) is the source of this 383-nucleotide non-coding RNA. NCBI's taxonomy places the organism in Eukaryota, Metazoa, Chordata, Testudines, Emydidae. The record is from RefSeq and is a predicted model, not a curated record.
CGCUAGCCGCGGGGUCGGGGCCGGAACUGUGAGCUGGGACGUGAGUUCCAGCCAGGCCCUAUUUGGUGUCUCACUUACUCAUUCUCCCCCCGCCGCGCCGUUACCAAGGUAAUGGAGUCGUUGGAGAAGCAAGGAGCCCGGGGCAAGAUGAUGCUCUCCCGGGCCAAGCCGGCCGUGGGGGGCGCCCCACCGCAGGGUGACAAACGGAAGAAGAAAGGCAAGAAAGUCCCGCCGCUGGAGGAGCUGCUGGCCUAGAGGGAUUUCACCGGCGCCAUCGCCCUGCUGGAGUUUAAACGGCAUGUGGGGGAACAAGAUGAGGACACUGGCCUCUGGAUUGGAUACUGUGCCUUUCACCUGGGGGACUACAAGAGAGCAUUGGAGGU